Non-coding RNA from Pelobates cultripes (western spadefoot toad), 349 nucleotides. The record is from the annotation of a GenBank genome assembly. NCBI's taxonomy places the organism in Eukaryota, Metazoa, Chordata, Amphibia, Anura, Pelobatidae.
GUUGCCCAAAAAUGGCAUGAUACUGCUGUUGAAUUAACUAAAUGUGGUUGUAGAGAAACCACCAGAAAAGGUGUACCAUAUUAUCAAUGUUUUGGACCUCUAGGGUCCAAGAAUGGGCAAGAAGGAGGGUCGUCCACCAGACUUAAGGGAACCCCUAGUUGCCCCCAUAGACACCCCAGUGGGGCCAUUAGCUCCACAAUUUACUACUCCCAUGAUACCCAAAGUUGAGAGUGUAUACCAUGAGAAGAGACAGCCGAGCUCAGGUAUCCAAUACUGGGAAGAAUAUAAGCCCUGGACACCCAGUGAAAAACUGGCAAUAAUACAGAAGCUGCCGGAUGUUGAAAAGGCC